Molecule: unclassified non-coding RNA, 214 nt
Filed under: Hevea brasiliensis (rubber tree)
Lineage: Eukaryota; Viridiplantae; Streptophyta; Magnoliopsida; Malpighiales; Euphorbiaceae
Source: RNAcentral
CGGGAAAUCAUCUUCUAUUAGCAAUGGACUGAAAAUGGACAAUUUGAAUUCUGGUAGCAUGCUUUCUGCCUCGGUUAUUACUGUGGGGGAUGAAAUUUUGUUUGGCACUGUAGAGGACAAGUUGGGUUCUGUGUUGUGUAAAAAGCUCCAUUCUAUUGGUUGGGCAGUAUCGCGAGUUACUGUCACUCAAAGUGAUAUAGAUUCUGUAGCCGAG